Molecule: long non-coding RNA, 5564 nt
Filed under: Homo sapiens (human)
Lineage: Eukaryota; Metazoa; Chordata; Mammalia; Primates; Hominidae
Description: maternally expressed 8, small nucleolar RNA host gene (MEG8)
Rfam family: Small nucleolar RNA SNORD113/SNORD114 family (bases 2485-2556)
Source: RNAcentral
GACGGUGGUAUUGACUGUUCCCCAGAGGACAAGGAGUGUGUUCUUAUAAUGGACAUCAUGAUUGGGAUUGUCUUUAUUAAACUUUGUCAGGAGAGUAAAGAUCAAUGUGGCCACAUGUUGUGGCUCAUGCCUGUAAUCCCAACACUGUAAUCCCAGCACUGUAAUCCCAGCCUGUAAUCCCAGGCUGAGGUGGGCGGAUCACCUGAGGUUGGGAGUUCGAGACCAGCCUGACCAACAUGGAGAAACCCCGUCUCUACUAAAAAUACAAAAUUAGCCGGGCAUGGUGGCGCAUGUCUUUAAUUCCAGCUACUCAGGAGGCUGAGGCAGGAGAAACGCUUGAACCCGAGAGGCGGAGGUUGCAGUGAGCUGAGAUUGCGCCAUUGCACUCCAGCCUGGGCAACAAGAGUGAAACUCCAUCUCAAAAGAAAAAAAAAAGAAAACAAAACAAAAAAAGAAAAAACCAAUGUUCCAAUAGUUUCCCAAAUCAUGCUGAUGCUGCCUCCUGAGAAAUAUUUUCAGAAUCACUGAGAAAAAUGUAUGAAAUAGUUAAUGUCCUUGCUCUGUGUCAGUGGUGGAGGCUGUCUGCAGUAGGAGCAUGGAGACCAACAAUGGAUGCUCUUAAACUGAUUUAAGCACGCUUCCAUGGUCAGAAGCCUUAUGGUUGCCACAGGGUAUUAGGAGCAUGGAGACCAAUAAUGGAUGUCCUUGUUCUGAUUUGAGGAUGCCUCCAAGGUCACAUACUCUGUUUGCACCACGCUUAGGAAGGAGCGUGAAGACCAAGGGGAGGAAGAUGAUAAACACAGAUCAUGGAGGACUGUUUUAUCUGUUUGUGAUCUGCCGUCCUCUGUGAGCCUCAGGAUGGAUGUUUGCCAGCCGAUUCCAUGGUUACAAGCUCUAUAGCUGCAUCUAUGUGUUAGGAGCAUGAAGACCAAUAAUGGAUGCACUGAGCUGAUUAUGAAUUUAGCCCUGAUGAAGACUUGUGUUGCUGUCAUGAUAUGAAAGAUUCCAGUAAUGAACGCACUUGAGUUGAUUCAAGCACGCUUCCAUGGUCAUGAGCUCUGUGGUUGCAUCUGUGUGUUAGGAGCAUGCAGACCAAUAGUGAUAAUCUCGAGGUGAUUUAUGCAUUCUUCCAUGGCCACCAGCCUUAUGAUUGCAUCUGUGCGUCACAGCUUAGAGAUCAAUAAUGGAUGCAACAAGCUCUUUGAAUCAUUCUGUUGGGAUCAAGAUUGUUGUGUUCCCUCUGUUUGGAAAGAGACCAAGAAUGGAUACGCUCAGGUGAUUUAAGCAGUCUUCCAUGGCCACGAGCUCUGUGGUUGCCUCUGUAUAUUAAGAGCACAGAGAUUAAAAAUGGCCCCAUUCCAGCUGAUAUAAGCACUCUUCCAUGGCAUGUGCACUAUGGUUGGUUCUCUGUGUUAGGAGCACACAAACCAUUGCGAGUAUGCAUUCAUUUCCUCUCUUUACAAGAAUGGGUGCACUUGAGCCGAUUGAAACAUUCCUCCUUGCAUCUUUCUUCUGUGAUUGCAUCUAUUUGUUAGUAGCAUAGAGACCAAUAAUAGAUGGCUUGUGCUGAUGGAAGGAUUCCUCCCUGGUGACAUGCUGUGUCUGCCUCUUGAUUGGGAGCACGCAGACCUACAAUGAUGCACUUUUUAUGAUUUGAGAAUUCCUUCAUGGUCACGUGCUCUGUUUUUAUCAUGGUUGGGAGCCUGCAGAGCAAUAAGGGACAUGCCUUUGCUGAUUUGAGGAUUCCUCUGAGGUUGGGAGCUAAGUUUGCAUCAUGCUUAGAAAGGAGUGUGCAGACCUGUAAUGAUUGCACUUUGCUGAUUGAAGGAUUCCUUCAAGUCCAUGUGCUCCACUUGCACCAUUUUUAGGAUGGAGCCUGGAGACCUAUAAUGAACAACUUGUGCUGUGUUAAGGAUUCCUCCAUGAUCACGCGCCCCAUUUGUACACCAUGCUUGGGAAGGUGCAUGCAGACCAAUAAUGGACGUACUUGUGAUGAUUUAAAGAUGCCUCCAAGGUCACGUGCUCUGUUUGCACCAUGCUUAGGAAGGAGCGUACAGACCAAAAAUGGAUGAAUUGUGCACCUUGAAAAGUUCUUCCAUGGUCACCUGAGGCAUCUGCGUCAUGAUUAGGCUCCGGAUGACUAAUGUGAGUAAUAGUUAACAUUUUUUACUUCCUUCUGGUGCCAUUUUAAGAGGACUCAUUGUAUUAUAAAAAGUGUGUGACAUUAUCAAAGAUGUCCGCCUGCAUCCCAGUGAAAGAUAUGGAAACGAUACGAAGCGUUGUAUUGAUAAUGCAUAUAUAAAAACCUGAAGAUAGUUAAUUAAGAGGUGUAUCAAUGUUGGAAUAAUUCAGUAUACAAAUUAGGAAUAUUAAAGUUAUUCUCAGGAUUUUUUUGAACUAUAAAGUCUUAAAAUUGCUAUUAGUGAAUUAACAAAUCAAUCCAUAGACAGGGUAGAAAUGAAUAGAGAAAGAGAUGAACAAUCCUGGAUCGAUGAUGACUGCUGGUGGCGUAUGAGUCAUAUGCGAUGAAUACGUGUCUAGAACUCUGAGGUCCAUCACAGAAGAAAUCUAGCUCAUUUUCUGUGUUUGAUAUAAUCCUUUAGACAGGCAUCAGGAAUAUUAGAUGAGUUUGGUUUUAGUCUUUGUAUUUACAUGUUUUAAUUCUAUUUUUGUAAUUGGCCAAUAUAAAAACCAAUAAACAAAUGUAUAAAUAAAGAUGAGUAAGGUUAAUCAUUGUCCAGUUGUAAAAAAUAUUUGGUGAGGUAAGAAACACUAUUAAUAUGUAUUGAAAAUAGUGAAGUCUGAAGAGAAGUACAUGUACAUGUCUGUCACCUCUUUGGCUAUGGUGAUAUAGACAGGAUAAUUAUAGACAAUGUUCAAAUUCUUGGUUAAUUGUAAGCUUGAAAUUGUUCAUUUUUUAAAGAGGAAAUGAAAUAAGUUUACUCCAAAUAAUGAUAGCUUAGAUGACUAACUAAUGAUAGGUGAAAAGCAAGGAUUGAUAGUUAAAAUGCCUCUCUUUUGUUAUUAUCUUCUUUGCUCUGUACUUAGAAUGGACGUACUUGUUCUGAUUUGAGGACUUCUUCAUGGUCACAUGUUCUGUUUGCACCAUGCUUAGGAAGGAGCAUGUGUACCAAUGUGAGUGACAGUCAGAUUUCUUGCAUUUCUUUGGGUGGUUUAUUUAAGAGGACUCAAUGUACUGUGAAUAAACAUGUAAUAUAAUCAAAGAUGGUGAAUUUUAUCUAGUGAGGGAUAUUGGAGUCAAAAGAAGUAUUAUAUUGAUAAUUCACAUAUGAAAAACAGGAUAACUCAUGAAACAUUAAUAUAGGAAUUAUUUGGGAUAUCUUUUUGGGUUUUGUGAGUCAUAAGGUUUAAAGUUAUUAUUAGUAAAUUAAUGAAUUAAUCAACAGACAAUGUAGAAAAUAACAGAGAAAAGAAGGGCCAAUCCUGGAUCGAUGAUGACUACUGGUAGCAUGAGUCAUAUACAGUGAAUACAUGUCUGGAACUCUGAGGUCUGUCUCAAAAGAUAUCUAGUCUAUUUCCUGUUUCAAAUGAUCCUACAGACAGAUGGCAAAAAAUAGAAUGUAUAUGUGUUUGGUUUUCAUGUUUAUGAAUUUUUAUUUUACAUUUAUGAUUGGCUCAAUCAGAGAAUCAGUUAAUAAAUAUACAAAUAAAGAUGAAUAAGGGCCGGGCAUGGUGGCUCACACCUGUAAUCUCAGCACUUUGGGAGGCCAACACGGGUAGAUCACUUGAUGACAGGAGAUCGAGACCUACCUGGCCAACGUGGCGAAACCCUAUCUCUACUAAAAAUACAAAAAUUAGCCAGGCAUGGCGGCAUGUGCCUCUAAUCCGAGGACUUGGGUGGCUGAGGCACAUGGAUUGCUUGAACCCGGGUUUCAAAAAUUGCUUGAACCUGGGAGGCUGCAGUGAUCCGAGAUCACGUCACUGCAGCUUGGCAACAGAGCAAGAUUCUGUGUCAAAAAGAAAAAAAUAAAAAGGAUAAGAUUAAGGAUUGUCCAACUAUAAAAAUAUGUGGAAAGACAAAAAACACUAUUAAUACAUACUGAAAUUGGUAACAACUAAAGAGAAAUCUUGCAUACCUGUUACCUCUUUGAAUGAGAUAGACAGUAUAAAUUUUGACCGUAUUCAAGUUCUGGGUCAGGGACAAUUCCAAAGUUCUUUAUUUUCCCUUCCUUUCUUCCUUCCUUUCUUUCUUUCCUUUCUUCCUUCCUUUCUUCCUUCCUUUCUUUCUUUUCUUUCUUUCUUUCUUUCUUUCUUUCUUUCUUUCUUUCUUUCUUUCUUUCUCUCUCUUUCUCUCUCUCUCUUUUCCUUCCUUCCUUCCUUCCUUCCUUCCUUCCUUCCUUCCUUCCUUCCUUCCUUCCUUCCUUCCUUCCUUCCUUCUUUCUUUUUGAGAUGGAGUCUUGCUCUAUCACUUAGGGUGGAGUACAAUGCCACGAUCUCAGCUCACCGCAACCUCUGCCUCAUGGGUUCAAGCAGUUCUUGUGCCUCAGCCUCCCUAAUAGCUGGGAUUGCAGACGCGUGCCAUCAUGCCUGGCUAGUUUUUGUAUUUUCAGUAGAGAUGGGGUUUCUCCAUGUUUCCCAGACUGGUCUUGAACUCUUGACCUCAAGUGAUCCACCUGCCUCUGCCUCCCAACAUGCUGGGAUUACAGGCAUGAGCCACCACAUCUGGCCAGUUAUUCAUAAAAAAAUGAAAUAUACCUCAAAUUAAUGAACAUAUAAAUGAGUAUAAAUGUUUAUACAUUUAUUAAUUUGAGGUAUAUUUGAAAAGCAAGGAUCAAUGGAGAGAAGGUCUCAUUUUUGUUGUCAUCUCUUCUGCUCUGUACUCAGAAUGGAAGCACAGAAGCUGGUUUUAAUAGUUAAGAGCUGUAUGGUCCAUCUCUGUGCUAGAAGCUGGAGACCAAUGUGAGUAAUAGUCAAAGUUCUUGUCUCAUCUUGGGUGUUUUGUUUAAAGGUUUAUAGUGCAUUAACAAAAAAUAUGAAAUAUAAUCCAAUAAGGCCAUGAGUAGCCCAGGGAUAAAUAUGGAAUGGAUGUGGAAUGUUACACUGAGGGAUGCUUAUAUGAAAAGCAUGUCCUGUAUUAUUAAGAAAGGUAAUAAUGAGGGGAUAUGGUAUUGUGAGGAUGAGUGUAUAUACAAAUUAGAGAUAUCAAGGCUCCUCUUGGGGUUUUGUGAGUGAUAGUGUUUAAAAGUUAUUAAUGGUGAAUUAAUGAAGUAAUAAAUAAUGUAACAAUGAAUGAAGAGCACCAGAGCUAAUCCUGGAUCAAUCAUGACUACUGGUAUUGGAUGGGUCUUCGUCAGUGAAUGCCUAUCUGGAACUCUGAGGUCCAUCAGAAAAGAAAUAUAGUGUUUUCCCUCUUUUGGAAGUGAUCCUAUAGACAGACGUCAGGAAUAUGCAAGGGUCUUGUUUUUGCUCUUUGUGAGCACGAGUUUUCAAUCUAUUAUUAUAAUUCAAUCAAUGAAGGAACCACUAAACAAAUAUACAAAUAAAGUAUGUUGGAUGCGACUAAGCGUUCUCUAACUGUAAAAAUAAUUUGUGAGGCAAAAAAA